UUAAAUUGAAGAGUUUGAUCAUGGCUCAGAUUGAACGCUGGCGGCAGGCCUAACACAUGCAAGUCGAACGGUAACAGGAAGCAGCUUGCUGCUUUGCUGACGAGUGGCGGACGGGUGAGUAAUGUCUGGGAAACUGCCUGAUGGAGGGGGAUAACUACUGGAAACGGUAGCUAAUACCGCAUAACGUCGCAAGACCAAAGAGGGGGACCUUCGGGCCUCUUGCCAUCGGAUGUGCCCAGAUGGGAUUAGCUAGUAGGUGGGGUAACGGCUCACCUAGGCGACGAUCCCUAGCUGGUCUGAGAGGAUGACCAGCCACACUGGAACUGAGACACGGUCCAGACUCCUACGGGAGGCAGCAGUGGGGAAUAUUGCACAAUGGGCGCAAGCCUGAUG
Molecule: ribosomal RNA, 393 nt
Filed under: Escherichia coli
Lineage: Bacteria; Pseudomonadati; Pseudomonadota; Gammaproteobacteria; Enterobacterales; Enterobacteriaceae
Also listed under: 1 other name
Description: bacterial SSU rRNA
Rfam family: Bacterial small subunit ribosomal RNA
Source: RNAcentral